This 22-nucleotide microRNA is filed under the name Anolis carolinensis (green anole). Its description in RNAcentral is "aca-miR-5422". The record is from miRBase by way of RNAcentral. Lineage: Eukaryota; Metazoa; Chordata; Lepidosauria; Squamata; Anolidae.
UCAGCAUUGGUAUCCUCCUUCU